UAUCUCUGUAGAGUCUGCAUAUCAAUAAGCGGAGGAAAAGAAACUAACAAGGAUUCCCCUAGUAACGGCGAGUGAAGCGGGAAGAGCUCAAAUUUGAAAUCUUCAAGGUCUGACCUUGACGAAUUGUAGUUUAAAGAAGUGUUUUCGGUUAGAGGAGUAGUAAAAGUUCUUUGGAAUAGGACAUCAUAGAGGGUGAGAAUCCCGUAUUUGACUAUUCUUUCUAGCUUUGUGAUACACUUUCAAAGAGUCGGAUUGUUUGGGAAUACAGUCCAAAAUGGGUGGUAAAUUUCAUCUAAAGCUAAAUAUUGGCGAGAGACCGAUAGCGAACAAGUACCGUGAGGGAAAGAUGAAAAGAACUUUGAAAAGAGAGUUAAACAGUACGUGAAAUUGUCAGAAGGGAAGCGUUCGACACCAGUGUUGUUUUUCCGAAAAUCAAUUAAAAAUUGAUUCAUGCCAGGUUGUAUUGACCUUAUCAGCUUGCAAUUUGGUUUUGGGUCUCUCUUUUGAUGCACUUUUCGGUUAACAAGUCAACAUCAAUUUCCUUUGCUGUAAAAAGGUAAGAGGAAGGUGGCUUCAAUUUCGGUUGAAGUGUUUAUAGCCUUUUAUCUCUGCAGUCGGGGAGAUUGAGGUCUGCAGCGUAGAUCCUUCGGGGCUAGAUACAUUUAUGCUAAGUUAUAGCUUUUCAUAGACAACUUGUUGACUAUGUUUAGUCAUGUAGCUUACUCGUAAGUGCUAUUUUACCUACGCUUAGGAUGUUGAAGACUCUACAGAGAUA
RNAcentral lists this ribosomal RNA (775 nucleotides) under uncultured Neocallimastigales. Its description in RNAcentral is "partial large subunit ribosomal RNA". It matches the Rfam family "Eukaryotic large subunit ribosomal RNA", at positions 24 to 628 of the family's 3401-position model. Lineage: Eukaryota; Fungi; Neocallimastigomycota; Neocallimastigomycetes; Neocallimastigales. The record is from RNAcentral.